Molecule: ribosomal RNA, 520 nt
Filed under: uncultured Glomus
Lineage: Eukaryota; Fungi; Glomeromycota; Glomeromycetes; Glomerales; Glomeraceae
Description: SSU rRNA
Rfam family: Eukaryotic small subunit ribosomal RNA
Source: RNAcentral
CGCAGCCGCGGUAAUUCCAGCUCCAAUAGCGUAUAUUAAAGUUGUUGCAGUUAAAAAGCUCGUAGUUGAAUUUCGGGGUCAGUAGGUCGGUCGUGCCACUGGUAUGAACUGGUUUUACUGAUUCCUCCCUCUUGAAGAACUGUAAUGCCAUUAAUUUGGUGUUGCAGGGAAUCAGGACUGUUACUUUGAAAAAAUUAGAGUGUUUAAAGCAGGCUUUAGCUUGAAUACAUUAGCAUGGAAUAAUGAAAUAGGACGUUUGAUCCUAUUUUGUUGGUUUCUAGGAUUGACGUAAUGAUUAAUAGGGAUAGUUGGGGGCAUUAGUAUUCAAUUGUCAGAGGUGAAAUUCUUGGAUUUAUUGAAGACUAACUACUGCGAAAGCAUUUGCCAAGGAUGUUUUCAUUAAUCAAGAACGAAAGUUAGGGGAUCGAAGACGAUCAGAUACCGUCGUAGUCUUAACCAUAAACUAUGCCGACUAGGGAUCGGAUGAUGUUAAUUUUUUAAUGACUCAUUCGGCGCCUUA